AACAGAGAGACGACUACUGCUUUCGUUUCUUAAAAAAGAAAAUGUGUUUAUUUUGUAUUGCGGUUUUGAUUUUUUUUUUUUUUAAUUAUUUGGUAAUGUUGUUCUAAGUUGUUGAUUGUGCAGUCUUGAAAGGAAAGUCCAAACGCAGCACCUGGACUGGACCUUCUUGUUGCAGUUUGCACUGCUUCCUGUCCAAACUAGAGCCUGGUUCUCCAUGUGGACAGCUGCGCCUGUGACUUCUUUUUAUUCCUCCUGUCCCCCUGGGGAGUGAUUAUGGAUGGAAACGGGAAGGAUGGGUUCACAUGGGAGCCUUGCCUGUCAAGAGAAGGAUUACCAGGAAAUGGAGGCUCCACGUGAGCCUGCGGGAUGACUCUGAGUUGGGGCUCCCCCUCCCGGCUAAUGGUAAACUUACAGGAUCGUCACGCCCUGCGAUGUUUGAGGCCCCCGGCAGCUGAGGUCCCUCCACCGGACUCAUCCCGCUGCCCCGGCACAGCAGCUCCAAGGAUGGCAGUCCGUGCCCUGCCCUCUUCGUCAGGACUUGGUGUGAUGAGAGGACUUGGGAAAGGACAAGGGAGGGGAACGGGAAGGGAGGGCUCGUAGGAGCUGUGAAAAGAAGAACACCCAGGAAACGGAGGCUCCACGUGAGCCCGCAGGAUGGCCAUGAGCUGGGGCUCUCCUGGGUAAGGGCAAACUUACAGGACGGGAGGAUCAGCGCCGGCGUCGAGGCGGCCGUUUCGCGGGAGGUGGACGGAUCCUGGCGCCCCUGCGGUGACAUUUGGGGCGCGACCUCUUCCUAGUUCGGCCUGGCAGCAGCAGACAGAUGGGCAGUGUGCCCCGAUGGAGGUGGAUCCACUUCC
RNAcentral lists this long non-coding RNA (857 nucleotides) under Gallus gallus (chicken). Its description in RNAcentral is "long non-coding RNA NONGGAT003966". Lineage: Eukaryota; Metazoa; Chordata; Aves; Galliformes; Phasianidae. The record is from RNAcentral.